RNAcentral lists this ribosomal RNA (1809 nucleotides) under bacterium. RNAcentral's name for it is "partial 23S ribosomal RNA". It matches the Rfam family "Bacterial large subunit ribosomal RNA", at positions 1135 to 2925 of the family's 2925-position model. The record is from RNAcentral.
UAAUAGCUCACUGGUCGAGUCGGUUUGCGCGGAAGAUUUAACGGGGCUAAACUAUAUACCGAAGCUGCGGAUCGCAAUUUAUUGCGAUGGUAGGAGAGCGUUCUGUAAGCCGUUGAAGGUGAACUGUGAGGUUUGCUGGAGGUAUCAGAAGUGCGAAUGCUGACAUGAGUAACGAUAAAGGGGGUGAAAAACCCCCUCGCCAGAAGUCCAAGGUUUCCUACGCAACGUUAAUCGGCGUAGGGUUAGUCGGCCCCUAAGGCGAGGCAGAAAUGCGUAGUCGAUGGGAAACGGGUUAAUAUUCCCGUACUUCAUAUAACUGCGAUGGGAAGACGGAGUAGGUUAGCUCAGCAAGGCGAUGGUUGUCCUUGUUCAAGCGUGUAGAAAUGGUUCUUAGGAAAAUCCGGGAACCUCUAUUUCAAGGCGUGAUAACGAGCCCUCUUUUGGGCGAAGUGAGUGAGACCAUGCUUCCAGGAAAAUCCUCUAAGCUUCAGGUUAUAUGAAACCGUACCCCAAACCGACACAGGUGGACGAGAUGAGAAUUCUAAGGCGCUUGAGAGAACUCGGGUGAAGGAACUAGGCAAAAUGACACCGUAACUUCGGGAGAAGGUGUGCUCUUGUUAUGUGAUAUCACUUGCUGAUUGAGCAAAGAAGAGCUGAAAAAACUAGGUGGCUGCGACUGUUUAUUAAAAACACAGCACUCUGCAAACACGUAAGUGGACGUAUAGGGUGUGACUCCUGCCCGGUGCUUGAAGGUUAAUUGAUGAGGUUAGCGCUUGCGCGAAGCUUUUGAUCGAAGCCCAAGUAAACGGCGGCCGUAACUAUAACGGUCCUAAGGUAGCGAAAUUCCUUGUCGGGUAAGUUCCGACCUGCACGAAUGGAGUAACGACGGCCACACUGUCUCCACCCGAGACUCAGUGAAAUUGAAAUUGCUGUUAAGAUGCAGUAUACCCGCGGCCAGACGGAAAGACCCCGUGCACCUUUACUACAGCUUUGCAUUGAACUCUGAUCCUACUUGUGUAGGAUAGGUGGGAGGCUUUGAAGCUUUAACGCUAGUUAGAGUGGAGCCACCCUUGAAAUACCACCCUGGUAUGGUUGGGGUUCUAACCUUGGUCCGUAAUCCGGAUCGGGGACAAUGCAUGGUGGGUAGUUUGACUGGGGCGGUCUCCUCCUAAAGAGUAACGGAGGAGCGCAAAGGUAUCCUCAGCACGGUCGGACAUCGUGCAAUGAGCGCAAAGGUAAAAGGAUGCUUGACUGCGAGACUGACACGUCGAGCAGGUAGGAAACUAGGUCUUAGUGAUCCGGUGGUUCUGAGUGGAAGGACCAUCGCUCAACGGAUAAAAGGUACGCCGGGGAUAACAGGCUGAUACCCCCCAAGAGUUCACAUCGACGGGGGUGUUUGGCACCUCGAUGUCGGCUCAUCACAUCCUGGGGCUGAAGCAGGUCCCAAGGGUAUGGCUGUUCGCCAUUUAAAGUGGUACGCGAGCUGGGUUUAGAACGUCGUGAGACAGUUCGGUCCCUAUCUACCGUGGGCGUUGGAGACUUGAGGGAAGCUGUUCUUAGUACGAGAGGACCGGAAUGGACACACCUCUGGUGUUUCGGUUGUCACGCCAGUGGCAUUGCCGAGUAGCUAUGUGUGGAAAGGAUAACCGCUGAAAGCAUCUAAGCGGGAAGCCCCUCCCAAGAUUAGGUCUCCCUGAUUAUUUAAUAAUCCUAAAGAUCCCUCGAAGACUACGAGGUUGAUAGGCUAGGUGUGAAAGUGCAGCAAUGUAUUGAGCUAACUAGUACUAAUUGAUCGUGAGGCUUGACCAU